RNAcentral lists this ribosomal RNA (328 nucleotides) under uncultured eukaryote. RNAcentral describes it as "partial 18S ribosomal RNA". It matches the Rfam family "Eukaryotic small subunit ribosomal RNA", at positions 1470 to 1796 of the family's 1831-position model. The record is from RNAcentral.
CCCUUAGAUGUCCCGGGCCGCACGCGCGCUACACUGAGUGUCUGAGAUACGAGUCUGCCUAGCCGGCGAGGUCUAGGUAAUCGCUGAAAGACACAUCAUCCUUGGGAUAGAUUAUUGCAGAUAUUAAUCUUGAACGAGGAAUUCCUAGUAAGCGCAAGUCAACAGCUUGCGUUGAUUACGUCCCCGCCCUUUGUGCACACCGCCCGUCGCUACUACUGAUUGGAUGUUUAAGCGAGGUUCUCGAACUGCUAGCGACUUAGCUUCGGUGAGGUCGCCGUGUGGGAAGUGAACCUAGCUUUGGUGUCUAGAGGAAGUAAAAGUCGUAUCA